UACGUAGGGACCAAGCGUUGUUCGGAUUUACUGGGCGUAAAGGGCGCGUAGGCGGCAAUUCAAGUCAUCUGUGAAAUCUCCGAGCUUAACUCGGAACGGUCAGAUGAUACUGUUUUGCUAGAGUACAGAAGGGGCAAUCGGAAUUCUUGGUGUAGCGGUGAAAUGCGUAGAUAUCAGGAGGAACACCGGUGGCGAAGGCGGUUCUCUGGGCCUUACCUGACGCUGAGGAGCGAAAGCGUGGGGAGCGAACAGG
Molecule: ribosomal RNA, 253 nt
Filed under: uncultured bacterium
Lineage: Bacteria
Description: partial 16S ribosomal RNA
Rfam family: Bacterial small subunit ribosomal RNA
Source: RNAcentral